Molecule: long non-coding RNA, 4483 nt
Organism: Monopterus albus (swamp eel)
Lineage: Eukaryota; Metazoa; Chordata; Actinopteri; Synbranchiformes; Synbranchidae
Exons: 3
Source: RefSeq, a predicted model, not a curated record
UAUGUGACACAAAUUCUGGGGCUGCACGAGUUAGACAUCAACAGGUUGACUACAUUUUGUUUCCCUUUCGUCAAACAAAACCUGAACUAAGACGAAUGCUUGCAAAGAAUCUCCCUGUAGAUCAUCUCCGGCUGAACCUUUGGGAAUGUGAGACUUCUUUAAAGGUAUGGGAGCCAAAAUGGCUUUAGGAGAGCUGAGUAGGUGCCCGUGUGUACACAAUAUGUGCAACAAAAGCAGGGGCUAAUCCACCUAAUUUACACAAUGCACAGGGCCCUGUUUACACGGGAGAUACCCUCAGAGGGCCCCUGUUUCGUUUUCCCUGCGUUUCAGACCGGAGAAGUGGACGAAUGAAAGACAAAGUGAGCGAUCAGUGGUGCCACACGGAAUAAAUCACACACGCGAUUUCAACAAACACAAAGCAUCGCUAUCUUUCACUUAUUUCACACGUUUACACCAGUUUCAUAAUGCUUCUUUUUUCUAAGAUAAAUCAUGAGAGCUCUGGAUUUUUUUCAGGCAUUUCUAUUAGAAAGUUUGGAAAAGUCUACACAGCGCAAUCUGCAACAAAUAAAGGCUUUUUGUUGCAAAUGAAUAAGACUGGACUAUUUAUGCACCAAAUUAUUUGUGUCCAGGCCUUGUUAGUAAACCUAGUUGAUGCUAAGUGAAACAACUCUCACACCCAAAUGAACAAAAGCAGAAUUAACCUAAAGGAAACCAAACAUAUAAGGUGCACCUUCAGGUUUUUACGCAUCCUCCAGCCAAGGAUGCUAUGAGUCAAACUGACCAGAUGACAAAAAGCAAGACGCACCAAUAACAAUAUAAUUUAUCUUUACAGCCAAUAUCAGUAAUCCUGUCUCCCUAUGUCAACGAUUUUCAAUAGUCUAGAACUACUGUCCUCAAUUAUUCUGCAUGUUUGCACCGUGUGUUCUACUAUACAAUAAAAAUACAUAUAUAAAAUCGUAAUGUGUUUAUGCUUUCUGUGUGGUCUUCGAGUAGGCAAAUUGUGCGUGGGCCUAUUUUAACAGAUUUUAUGACAUCCACUCACUACGCAGCGGCACUGGACUAAGAUUUACUGUAAUUAAAAAGGUUACAUAUCAAGAUGCAUAUCCUAUUUCAGAUGCAGAUUCCUUUUUGUUUUCCUUGAGUGCAUCCAAAACCUAUUCUCUUAUAUGUUAACGCCCACUAUGUACAGAAAGAUACCAAAGUGAAACAUUGUCUCAUUUCCCUUUUGGAGACAUCAUCUCAAAACUGUUCUUUCGAUACGCUGUUAAUUUGCGUGUAGGUCUAUUUAAAGUAAAAGGUUAAUAAGACAUUUAAAGGAGCAAAGACUAACGCUGAAUAGAGCGUUGUCUUAUUUUAUGUCUAUUCAGCUCAGCCACCUAUUGACUGUUUAGGCAAUACAUUAAGGCUUCUGGCAGCUGCGACGAUUUUUUUAAUUACUGUAUUGUCACCACAGUCCUAGAUUUCUUGUUUAUGCGACUUAGAGCCCUUUAUAUACUUCCCGUGGGUAGGUGCGCUUCACUGUUUCCAUAAUUGCAUUUUUCCAGAAGGGGUAAUUACUCUGGCACAUCCAGGUGAAUUCUUGCGCUAAAAUUGAAAUAUCCUGCUUUAAUCCUCCCUAAAUCCCAAUUCUCAGGACACGGGGAGGUGAGCAGCAGAGGAGUCAUGUGGAGCUCCGGUUGCUUCUUCAGGUGAGCGUCGCGUCCCAGGGGAGCGGAGGAUCUCCUCUCGCCGUCAUAAGCAUAAAACAAGAUUACUAGAUCUUUAUCACCGAGCACCCCCCAGAAACAGGAACAGACUGCAAGUUGUUUUGCGGGGGAUAUUUUAAACUUAAAAGAAAAAGUCAUAAAUACACUUCCCUGCAUGUUUUCCAGGGGGUUCAUGCCUUUAACACAACAGCAAGUGAGCUUGUUUAUGUAAAUGAAUCAGGAAAUGCAUUAGUAAAACUGUGCUUGAUAUCUUUGUUUCACAUGCUGUUUGAAGGAAAAGGGGCUCCUAACAUUUACCAGAUCUUAAAAAUAACACCCCUUUCUUCUUAUAAACAAUAUAUGUACUGUUCGCACUAGAUUCCAUAUUUUAAGUGUAGUCUGUCUUGCAGGAGUAAAUACCGGCAGAAGUUUGUACAUUCUUCUUGUCAUAGUGCUGCCUGAAUUUACCUUCACCACAUCUUUAAUUUGUAGUCACCAGGAAUAAAAGGCUGAAUCUCAGCUCUGGCAGCUCCCAUGUCAGUCUUUGCUGGAGCGGGUGACAGAGAACAGCAGAGGUAGAUAGCAUUCUCAAAUCGCAUCACUAGAGACCUCACAUCAAAGCAGACCAAACCUCAUAUUGAGUGAACUUUUAAGCCAGAAAGACUGUGUGACAUCAGAGCACCUAAAAUGUGACUGUCAUGUUUUUCAAACUUGGCUGAACACAGGCUCAAAGACUUAAGAAAUAUUCAAUGGCAAAGCUCUUUUCAAACACACUCACUAAGAUUAGCAGUCUUUGUCUUACAGGAACCUCAAAGACCAAUUAGACUGAGAGAUGGGUGUGGUGAAUUUGUCAAAAAUGAGAUGACAGAUAUCACUUUGGCAGUGAGCAAACAUAGCUGGGGAUUUCACUCAAGUGCAUCAUUGACAAGGCUCUGUCAGAAAAUGUGUCAUCUUCAGCAGACCUGCCAGUUGACAAGGAUGCAGCUUGGGAUUGAGACUGAUCAAUUCCCAAACUGCCAACAAGACAUGGCUCUGAUAGUGGCAGUUUAUUUUGUGAAGUAAAAAAGUACAAUUUCCUUGGAUAUAUUGUCAACUUUUUAUUUGGAUCACAGGCCUGCACCGUCCCAGGAUACAGAAGUAAGAGAAUGUGUGCAGCAAAUUUCAGAUAAAACAAACAGUGUCAUAUAUAUGUUGGCUCUCAAAGCAGAGUUUUGACCUUCCCACAUUCCUUUUUUGGACAUUCAGUGCACGUGUCUGGUUUUGUUGUUUAAUGUACACCAAUUCAAAAUGUUUAAUACUUGAGUUUGUCUUUGGCCACUAUUUCUAAAGUGAAAUCUGAUACUCAAAGCAUUUUCCUCUUCAAAGUUGUCUCCUGUUGUGCUUUGUGACCACAGUAGUGUCAAUCUCAUAUUUUCAAAGCCUCAUCUCUGUGUCAGCUUUGAGUAGCUGUCUAUAAAUGUCUCCAAAUGGAGUUAAUGCUUUGAUGGCUGCUCUGAAAACAGUUGGGAACAUUAUGACAAAAUCUAAAGUGGAAAAACAAUUUAUAUUGAUUUGGCUCCACAUGAAAUUUGACCUGUGAUUUUUAAAUUGCUGUCCUAAGCAGAAAUUGUGUUUGAUGUUAAAACAGCUCGGAAACAAGCUCAAAAGCGUUGUGGCAACUGCAAGGAAGGAAAUCCCAAUGAGCCGUAAAUGAUGCAUCACCAGAACUCUAGAACAUCUGUAAUGUGCUCGCAAAAUAUAGGCUAAUCUCUAAAUCCAACAUCUGGCCUCAAACUGCACAUCAGUUUAUCAUGUUUGUCAUCAACAUACUGAUUUGUGUAUAAAAGACCUGAGGAAAUUGCUUUAUUAUUGUUGAUAAUCAAAAAAUUGUUUAAGUCAGCAGAAAUAUUAAACAUUAGUGCCUGCCAUAUUUGAGAAUUUGUUGCUUUUCUUUGUCUAUAAGACUGAAAAUCAUAUGAAAUCAAAUUCAGGGGUGUUCUAGGGGCUUACACGUCUGACCUUUUCUUAAAUAAAUCAAAAGUGACCUCUCAACAUCAGUUAAAAAGAUUAUAGGCUAUUGUUGUCAGUAUGAACAUGCAAAAAUAACCCUAGCCAAUGCAUCACAUUGCACUAAAGUCGAAGACGUUUCCUGUUUAUUUGCCCUUGCCCUGCCAUCAAACACUCUGGUAUCAUGAAGUGAUUGUGUAGCCUACAGGACUCUGAACGCUUCAAGAACACGGGUGACCCACACUCACUAUGGUCCAUGAACGCCUCCAGUGUGAGCAUGCGGAGGCGAUGCUCACCUGACCGUCAGGUGGAUGGCACCUCACGCUCUAUUUGAAAAUAUGCUAUUUCAGAGUGAUUAAAGAGGAUGUGUUGGUACCACAGAGAUGGAUUCUUGUCACUGUGUGAGUUGCAUCAGGAUGAUGAGCAACGGGAGGAGAAUAAAUUACCACCACACUUAGGAGAGGGAGGCAUCCACAUUAUAUCAAGAUUGAGAAAAGAAAUGUUAGAAGUCACCCGCAGUCUCCAUGACAGCGAGAGCCGGAGGUGGGCGUUGAACAAUUCAGAAGGGACCAGCCCACGCACUGUGACCCUGAUCAGUGGAACCACUGGAACUAAGCUAUUUGGCUCCAUUGCCCUGGACUGCAAGCCAAGCUCUGGGAUGCCAGCUUCUUUGCUCAAGGCUACAGCCUUUCCCAAAGGUGUAUUACAGUAAGUCUUGGGAUGCUUUAUUAAAGAAUACAGUCUACACACAUUUAUAGCCUCUUGCAUGGUAUUUGGUCUGGAAUACAGAAGCCAGUGGGCAGAUUGUGUGG